AGCUAGUUGACGAGUCCCAGAUGGGACGAAAUGUGCAUCCUGGAU
Molecule: non-coding RNA, 45 nt
Filed under: Trichobilharzia regenti
Lineage: Eukaryota; Metazoa; Platyhelminthes; Trematoda; Strigeidida; Schistosomatidae
Source: RNAcentral